This 76-nucleotide transfer RNA is filed under the name Methanocaldococcus jannaschii DSM 2661. Its description in RNAcentral is "tRNA-iMet (CAT) (tRNA-iMet-CAT-1-1)". It matches the Rfam family "tRNA". From Rfam's summary of the family: Transfer RNA (tRNA) molecules are approximately 80 nucleotides in length. Their secondary structure includes four short double-helical elements and three loops (D, anti-codon, and T loops). RNAcentral also lists the same sequence under 2 other names. Lineage: Archaea; Methanobacteriati; Methanobacteriota; Methanococci; Methanococcales; Methanocaldococcaceae. The record is from Rfam by way of RNAcentral.
AGCGGGGUAGGGUAGCCAGGUCCAUCCCGCCGGGCUCAUAACCCGGAGAUCGGAGGUUCAAAUCCUCCCCCCGCUA